Molecule: RNA transcript, 2541 nt
Organism: Vigna angularis (adzuki bean)
Lineage: Eukaryota; Viridiplantae; Streptophyta; Magnoliopsida; Fabales; Fabaceae
Exons: 3
Source: RefSeq, a predicted model, not a curated record
AUGAGCUUGCUUUCAAGAAUAAGGCAUUAUUUACCCCAUGGUUUGUAUAUACAAACUUUUCAGCCAACCAUAGUGCAGCUUAACUCUAGUAACAUAUAUGCAUUUUCAAGAAAUUUUGGUCAGCCUGCAAGGAAAGAGGAGGAGGAUGUAGAGGAAGUGGAAAUUUACCCAAGAAGUCUUCCAGCUGAUUUUGAUCCCGCUACAUUUGAUCCCAAUGAUCAUCGAGGUCCUCCAUCAGAAAGAGUUUUCAGGCUUGUUGAUGAGAUAGCAUCUCUUACGGUAGCUGAAGCCUCAAAAUUGGGUCUUGUGCUGAUGAAGAAAAUGGGUGUGAAGGAGAUGUCUAAUGUGGAAUUUAUAAAAGCAGGAUCGGGAAAUUUGGCUGGAAUGGCAGCGAAAGCACCAGCUGCGGCCAAGGAGGAGCAAAAGCCAGGAAAAACUGUGUUUGAAUUGAAACUGGAGUCCUACGAAGCGGCUUGCAAAAUUAAAAUCAUCAAGGAAGUCCGGGGCUUUAGUGAUUUAGGUUUGAAGGAGGCCAAGAAUUUGGUGGAUAAAACACCUUUUUAUAUAAAGAAAGGUGUUUCAAAAGAAGAAGGGGAGAAGAUAAUGGAGAAACUCAAAGCUCGUGGUGCAAAAGUUAUUAUGUAAUGAUAUAUGGAUAUUAACCGUGGUUAUGCAGAUUUGUCAAGUGGAGGUACACAAAGGUCAGUUUUUUUCUUUUUUCUUUAAUUUAAACAAUGCACGAAUAAAUGUAUCUGUCUUGUUUCAUCUAUUCCUCGUGUUACAUCUGCUAGAAGUUCAAUCAACACGAUGGUAGUUGAGAAAGGAAAUAUGGUGAAGGAGCCAAUAUAGUCUUUAGAACAUUGCAGGAUUGGAACAUAAGCUUUAUAGGUUAUUGAGAGUUUUUCAUAUCAUCUGGGAUGAAAUGUUUACUACCACAAAUCAAAGAAACUAGCCAAACCUUAAUAAGAAAAAGAAAUUCCUUCAUUGGUUAUACUUUUACUGGAUGUUUUGAUCUCAGAGUGAGAGAGGAAUCAAAUUAUACUAUCAUAAAUUACAAUUUACAUCAGCUUUCAAACCAUCAAUAACUUUAUAUAGAAUGUGAUUUUUAUUAUUCCAACUAUUGGGUAUAACUGUAACAUCCCAAAAUAUAGUAAUAAACCAUAUAAUAGUAGUCACAGAAAUAAUAAAAUAGAUAAGUUAAAGACUAGGUUUGAAACACAUUCUCUAAGAUGACAACAAUUCGUGAGAUGUCUGCAAACUUUCACAAAUUAGACAAGUUUGAAGGCGUUGGUUUCCGACGAUAGCAAAAGAAGAUGCAUUUCCUUCUCUCAGCUCUAAACGUGACAUAUGUCCUAAGUUCUCCCCAACCCAAAGAAAGCGAAAACGAGACAUUGGAGGAACAACGAAAAAGGAACAAAUGAGAGAAUGAUGAUUAUGUCUGUCGUGGUCACAUUUUGAAUGAUAUGUCUGAUCCUUUAUUUGACAUAUAUCAAUAUGUGGAUUCUUCAAAAGAACUUUGGGAUCAACUUGAAAGCAAAUACAUUUCUGAAGAUGCAUCAAGCAAGAAAUUCCUAGUUACUAAUUUUAAUAAUUACAAAAUGAUUGAUGCUAAACCAAUAAUGGAACAAUUUCAUGAAAUCCAAAUAAUCCUAGGAAGUUUCAAGCAACAUAAUAUUGUAAUGGAUGAGACAUUCAUUGUUUCUUCUAUAAUUGACAAACUACCACCAAAUUGGAAAGAUGUUAGAAAUUCUCUAAAACAUAAUAAAGAUGAUAUGAAUGUUGAACAAUUGGCUGCUCAUCUUUGGAUAGAAGAAGGGGUCCGUUUGUAAGAUGGUCAAAAGGAUUCCAAUCAUCCUAAUUCUUCUACUGUUAAUAUGGUGGAAGAUGAAAAAAAAGACAAUACCAAAUAACAAGAAAAGGCCUCAUAAUUUCUAUAAAGGAAAGAUGAAAAAAAGGCCAAAAUUUGGUAAAGAAAGUCAACAAGCAAAUUGUUGGGAAUGUGGCAAGCCUGGUCAUUUAAAGAGGGAUUGCACAAUCUGGAAAAGGGAGAUGGCCAAGAAUGGCGCUAAACAAGGUUAAGGGGAGUCUAGCCAAGGCCAACCGAAAAAAAGACCGAUGAUUCAUGGUGGAUCGAUUCAGGGGCUUCAAGACAUGUUUGUAAGGAUCGUUGUCUAUUCAAAACUUUUAAGGAAGAUGACAAUGGAGAAGUUCUUUACAUGAGAAAUGAUUCUAUGCUUAAAGUCCUUGGUGUUGGACAAAUAGAAUUAUUAUUUAGUUAUGGAAAAUCACUUGUUUUAAGAGAUGUAUUAUAUGCUCCAAAAUUAAGAAGAAAUUUAGUGUUUGGAGUAAUCUUGAAUUGAUUGGGAUUUAAAUUGGUAUUUGAAUAUGAUAAAUUCAUAUUAUCUAAGGGUGGUGUAUUUGUUGGGCUAGGAUAUCUUUGUAAUAAUAUGUUCAAAUUAAGUGCAAUAAAUGAUGUGAAAGACUAUGUUUAUGCUGUCAAUCAUGAUUCUUCUUUAUGACAUUUUCGUCUUGGACAUGUUA